CCUACGGGAGGCUGCAGUGAGGAAUAUUGGUCAAUGGCCGCAGGGCUGAACCAGCCAAGUCGCGUGAGGGAUGACGGUCCUAUGGAUUGUAAACCUCUUUUGUCAGGGAGCAAAGGGCGGCACGGGUGGCGCUUUGCGAGUACCUGAAGAAAAACGCUCGGCUAACUCCGUUCCCGCAGCCGCGGUAAUACGGAGGAUUCGAGCGUUAGCCGGAUUUCUUGGGUUUAAAGGGUGCGCCGGAGGAUGGUCAAGCCAGCGGUAAACUUUCGGGGCUCAACCCCGGCGUGCCGUUGAAACUGGCGUUCUUGAGUGAGCGAGAAGUAUGCGGAAUGCGUGGUAUAGCGGUGAAAUGCAUAGAUAUCACGCAGAACUACGAUUGCGAAGGCAGCAUACCGGCGCUCAACUGACGCUCAUGCACGAAAGCGUGGGUAUCGAACAGGAUUAGAUACCCCAGUAGUC
Molecule: ribosomal RNA, 459 nt
Filed under: uncultured bacterium
Lineage: Bacteria
Description: partial 16S ribosomal RNA
Rfam family: Bacterial small subunit ribosomal RNA
Source: RNAcentral